This 492-nucleotide ribosomal RNA is filed under the name uncultured bacterium. Its description in RNAcentral is "partial 16S ribosomal RNA". It matches the Rfam family "Bacterial small subunit ribosomal RNA", at positions 29 to 507 of the family's 1533-position model. The record is from RNAcentral.
AGUGAACGCUGGCGGUAGGCCUAACACAUGCAAGUCGAACGGCAGCACAGUAAGAGCUUGCUCUUACGGGUGGCGAGUGGCGGACGGGUGAGGAAUACAUCGGAAUCUACUUUUUCGUGGGGGAUAACGUAGGGAAACUUACGCUAAUACCGCAUACGACCUACGGGUGAAAGCAGGGGAUCUUCGGACCUUGCGCGAUUGAAUGAGCCGAUGUCGGAUUAGCUAGUUGGCGGGGUAAAGGCCAACCAAGGCGACGAUCCGUAGCUGGUCUGAGAGGAUGAUCAGCCACACUGGAACUGAGACACGGUCCAGACUCCUACGGGAGGCAGCAGUGGGGAAUAUUGGACAAUGGGCGCAAGCCUGAUCCAGCCAUACCGCGUGGGUGAAGAAGGCCUUCGGGUUGUAAAGCCCUUUUGUUGGGAAAGAAAAGCAGCAGGUUAAUACCCCGCUGUCCUGACGGUACCCAAAGAAUAAGCACCGGCUAACUUCGUG